CACACUUCCUUCAAUGCCCCACGCUCGAGAAUACCUCGCAGACUGGAUUGACAAGGGGGGAAGGAAGCUGAGUGCUGGCUGUUUGGUGCUUCGUUACAGUCUGACGGGAAACCCGGAGACAGAGAGAGCGAGAGAGUGACACAGAGGGAAGAAAGAAGCAAGGCUCAGAGGAAAUCAGGUGAGCAACACACACCUUUUAUUGCUUGACUUGACUGUCCCUAAAGAUGUUUUUCUCUCACCGAGAUUUGGUCAAUCUUUUUUUCUUUUCUGUUUUCACUUUUCCAAUUGGACCAAUAUAACUGUAGGGUGCAAUUAGUUUUGCUCUUAA
Long non-coding RNA from Ictalurus punctatus (channel catfish), 328 nucleotides. NCBI's taxonomy places the organism in Eukaryota, Metazoa, Chordata, Actinopteri, Siluriformes, Ictaluridae. The record is from Ensembl.